CCUACGGGCGGCAGCAGUGAGGAAUAUUGGUCAAUGGGCUUACGCCUGAACCAGCCAAGUCGCGUGAGGGAAGACUGCCCUAUGGGUUGUAAACCUCUUUUGUCAGGGAGCAACGCCGGCUACGUGUAGCCGGACGGAGAGUACCUGAAGAAAAAGCAUCGGCUCACUCCGUGCCAGCAGCCGCGGUAAUACGGAGGAUGCGAGCGUGAUCCUGAUUGAUUGGGUUGAAAGGGUGCGUAGGCGGAAUGCCAAGUCAGCGGUAAAAGCGCGGGGCUCAACCUCGCUCCGCCGUUGAAACUGUCGUUCUUGCGUGUGCGAGAAGUAUGCGGAAUGCUUGGUGUAGCGGU
This 347-nucleotide ribosomal RNA is filed under the name uncultured bacterium. Its description in RNAcentral is "partial 16S ribosomal RNA". It matches the Rfam family "Bacterial small subunit ribosomal RNA", at positions 338 to 682 of the family's 1533-position model. The record is from RNAcentral.